Lutra lutra (Eurasian river otter) is the source of this 641-nucleotide long non-coding RNA. RefSeq lists it as uncharacterized. NCBI's taxonomy places the organism in Eukaryota, Metazoa, Chordata, Mammalia, Carnivora, Mustelidae. The record is from RefSeq and is a predicted model, not a curated record. The transcript has 3 exons.
AAAACAAAACAAAACAAAACCAAAAACCAAAAACCCAGAACCCUGACCUUGCCGGCAAGUCGAACAGUUCUGCACCCCUCCCCCUAGCUUCCCCGGGAGCCGGUUCACGCUAUCCCAAUUGGUCAGCCGGCCUGUAUCAGCACCUGCCUGGCAGUGACAAGCGAAUCUCCACGGAAGACAAGAGGCUCUGAAAAGGAAGCGGCCUCGGAAACGCUUUGAGGCCCACGAGGAAAGGAUUCCAAGCGGAAAAGGAGGAGAGGACCUUCGGAGGGAUGAGCCCGGCGGUCAGAGACUCGUGGGGACAAGGCUGGCGAGGACGACUGGGGGUCAGGAGCGGGAGGUGUUAGGAGGGCCCGGGAGGAGCCGUGGGGUGUUGGCAUAGCGGUUAAGAGCUGCUGACGUGCUCCAGGGGAUUGAAUCCAGACUCCAUUACCUAAUUAGGAAGACUUCUUCCUUUUCCUGUCAAGCCGGCUCUGGUGGAACGGAAAAGUCCAAAGCCUAGAUACAGAGUAAAUAGUUAAUCUUGCCUUCCAGUGCACUUGCUCUUGGUUCAUUGUUCAAACAUCCAUGUCCUCUGCGUUGUCACAUGGAUGGGUCUCUAGAGGUCACGGAUUCUGUUUGCUUGAUUGGGCUUGAAGGUC